AACGCAAAUGGCACUCUCGGGAUAUGCCUGGGAGUACGCUUUUCUCAGUGUCGUUUGUUUUCUCUCACUCCCUCGUCGGAGUGGAAAAUGAGAUGUCUGGUUUUUUAAGCCAGUCUCUUUAAAUGCAAUGGGCUUGGAUACCAUGAGAUGACCUUUCGAAUGACUCGCUAUCACAGGUGAUUCAUAGUUGAAAGCGAAAGGACAGUCUUUAGAGCUCUCACGUCGGCUAAGUUUGCCUUUGGGCGAACCCACUGUUGACGUUGAAGCUUGUUUGACUUGACUGUUUUUCCUUUUGCUGAAUGCAAUGACACUUGAUGCGAGGUUUUAAACAGUCGAUUGUGUCUCUUGAGGUUUAUCCGAACCUUAAAGGAAAUGAACUUUACUAUUUUCUCAAUAGACCUGAGAUGAAGCGAGAGGACCCGCUGAAUUUAA
This 432-nucleotide unclassified non-coding RNA is filed under the name uncultured fungus. Its description in RNAcentral is "partial contains ITS1, 5.8S rRNA and ITS2". The record is from RNAcentral. Lineage: Eukaryota; Fungi.